GAUGAACGCUGGCGGCAUGCCUAAUACAUGCAAGUCGAGCGAACGUAAGAGUAUUUUUCUUUUCUUAAGUUGGGGGCGGACGGGUGAUUCAUACGUGGCUUCCCUUUCUUUAAGACUUGGUUCACUUCGCGAGACCUGAGCUAAUACCGGUUGUUCUUUCGAACGGCAUGGUUCAUAAGUUCUCAACCGUUUUGCUGUCCCUAAUCGCUGGAUCCGCGCUGCAUUAGCUAGUUGGUACGGUAACGGCUUACCAAGGCAACGAUGCAUAUCCGAACUGAGAGGGUGAUCAGCCACACUGGAACUGAGACACGGUACAGACGACUACGGGAGGCAGCAGUAGUGAAUCUUCGCAAAUGGGCGAAAGCCUGACGAAGCAAAGACGCGUGAAUGAAGAAGGUCUUCGGAUGGUAAAACUCUAUAAGUGGGGAAGAAAGGAUGUAUAAGUAAAUGUGCACAUGUUGACGGUACCAAAACAAAAAGCCCAGGAUAACUACGUG
Molecule: ribosomal RNA, 497 nt
Filed under: uncultured bacterium
Lineage: Bacteria
Description: partial 16S ribosomal RNA
Rfam family: Bacterial small subunit ribosomal RNA
Source: RNAcentral